RNAcentral lists this transfer RNA (70 nucleotides) under Dallia pectoralis (Alaska blackfish). RNAcentral's name for it is "tRNA-Thr". The stretch from base 8 to 66 matches the Rfam family "tRNA", at positions 7 to 64 of the family's 71-position model. Rfam says of the family: Transfer RNA (tRNA) molecules are approximately 80 nucleotides in length. Their secondary structure includes four short double-helical elements and three loops (D, anti-codon, and T loops). The record is from RNAcentral. Lineage: Eukaryota; Metazoa; Chordata; Actinopteri; Esociformes; Umbridae.
GACGUUGGUAGCUCAAUGGUGGAUUACAUGCUUUGUAUGUAUGAUGUCCUGGGUUCAAUCCCCAGCGUCU